Molecule: ribosomal RNA, 909 nt
Filed under: Cantharellus elongatipes
Lineage: Eukaryota; Fungi; Basidiomycota; Agaricomycetes; Cantharellales; Hydnaceae
Description: partial large subunit ribosomal RNA
Rfam family: Eukaryotic large subunit ribosomal RNA
Source: RNAcentral
ACCCGCUGAACUUAAGCAUAUCACUAAGCGGAGGAAAAGAAACUAACUAGGAUUCCCCCAGUAACUGCGAGUGAAGAGGGAAGAGCUCAUCAUUGGAAUCUGGCAGCGUUGCGCUGUCCGAGUUGUAGAUGAGAAGAGUAGGACAUCUGGACUGCAUGGUGUCCAAGUACAAUAGGCCGUCAGUGGGACAUCAUAGAGGGUGACAAUCCCGUCCUUGACACCAAUGUACGAGUCCUUUACGAUGCCUAUCUCGGAGAGUCGAGCAGUUUGGGAUUUGCUGCUUAAACACGGGAGGUAGAUUCCUUCCAAAGCUAAAUACAGGCAAGAGACCGAUAGUGAACAAGUACCGCAAGGGAAAGAUGAAAUAGAACUCUGUGAAGGGAGUCAAAAAGACGUGAAAUUGUUGCGAGAGAAGCGAUUCAAGUCAGCGUAGCUGGGCCCAUCAAGCCUCGCGCUUUGGACCAGCUUUGCCAGCGGUCUUGUCCCUAGAGACUUGACUAAGGUGCCCUGCCCGGUCUAACGGACAGACCUCCCCUCUGGGGAGGCCAGUGGCAUGGCUGGUGGAAUGGCUUGCAAUCGACCCGUCUUGAAACACGGACCAAGGAGUCUAACAUGUACGCGAGUAUAAGGGUGGCAAACCCGUAUGCGCAAAGAAAGUGAUAGCCUAUGGCUGAGAAUGACCUGACGACCUGACAAGAAAUAUCAUGUCCCUCGUACGGUCAUUGCCCAAGUCCCAUGGUCAGAUCCCAUGGACAUGGAGUUGGAGCGUGCAUGCUAGGACCCGAAAGAUGGUGAACUAUGCCUGGACAAAGCGAAGCCAAAGGAAACUCUGGUGGAGGCUUGUAGCGAUUCUGACGUGCAAAUCGAUCGUCUGAUCUGGGUAUAGGGGCGAAAGACUAAUCGAACCAU